RNAcentral lists this unclassified non-coding RNA (86 nucleotides) under Flavobacterium fontis. Its description in RNAcentral is "Flavo-1 RNA". Lineage: Bacteria; Pseudomonadati; Bacteroidota; Flavobacteriia; Flavobacteriales; Flavobacteriaceae. The record is from RNAcentral.
CGCAAGCCCGCGUGAGGGGUAGUAGCGAAAAGCCCGGAUGCUGAGGAACGAAAGCAACGGACUUGUAGCGGAUGACCCGACCCGGA